RNAcentral lists this ribosomal RNA (253 nucleotides) under uncultured bacterium. RNAcentral describes it as "partial 16S ribosomal RNA". It matches the Rfam family "Bacterial small subunit ribosomal RNA", at positions 524 to 776 of the family's 1533-position model. The record is from RNAcentral.
UACAGAGGUGGCAAGCGUUGUUCGGAUUCACUGGGCGUAAAGGGUGCGUAGGCGGUCGGGUAAGUCUGAUGUGAAAUCUCACAGCUUAACUGUGAAACUGCAUUGGAUACUAUCCGGCUUGAGGAAUGGAGGGGAGACUGGAAUACUUGGUGUAGCAGUGAAAUGCGUAGAUAUCAAGUGGAACACCAGUGGCGAAGGCGAGUCUCUGGACAUUUCCUGACGCUGAGGCACGAAAGCCAGGGGAGCAAACGGG